UCUGGGAUAAGCCUGGGAAACUGGGUCUAAUACCGGAUAUGACUUCUCAUCGCAUGGUGGGGGGUGGAAAGCUUUUGUGGUUUUGGAUGGACUCGCGGCCUAUCAGCUUGUUGGUGGGGUAAUGGCCUACCAAGGCACGACGGGUAGCCGGCCUGAGAGGGUGACCGGCCACACUGGGACUGAGACACGGCCCAGACUCCUACGGGAGGCAGCAGUGGGGAAUAUUGCACAAUGGGCGCAAGCCUGAUGCAGCGACGCCGCGUGAGGGAUGACGGCCUUCGGGUUGUAAACCUCUUUCAGUAGGGAAGAAGCCCUCUUUUGGGGGUGACGGUACUUGCAGAAGAAGCGCCGGCUAACUACGUGCCAGCAGCCGCGGUAAUACGUAGGGCGCAAGCGUUAUCCGGAAUUAUUGGGCGUAAAGAGCUCGUAGGCGGUUUGUCGCGUCUGCUG
RNAcentral lists this ribosomal RNA (450 nucleotides) under Arthrobacter sp. acu81. RNAcentral describes it as "bacterial SSU rRNA". It matches the Rfam family "Bacterial small subunit ribosomal RNA", at positions 137 to 594 of the family's 1533-position model. The record is from RNAcentral. Lineage: Bacteria; Bacillati; Actinomycetota; Actinomycetes; Micrococcales; Micrococcaceae.